This 492-nucleotide ribosomal RNA is filed under the name uncultured bacterium. RNAcentral's name for it is "partial 16S ribosomal RNA". It matches the Rfam family "Bacterial small subunit ribosomal RNA", at positions 29 to 507 of the family's 1533-position model. The record is from RNAcentral.
AGUGAACGCUGGCGGUAGGCCUAACACAUGCAAGUCGAACGGCAGCACAGUAAGAGCUUGCUCUUACGGGUGGCGAGUGGCGGACGGGAGAGGAAUACAUCGGAAUCUACUUUUUCGUGGGGGAUAACGUAGGGAAACUUACGCUAAUACCGCAUACGACCUACGGGUGAAAGCAGGGGAUCUUCGGACCUUGCGCGAUUGAAUGAGCCGAUGUCGGAUUAGCUAGUUGGCGGGGUAAAGGCCCACCAAGGCGACGAUCCGUAGCUGGUCUGAGAGGAUGAUCAGCGACACUGGAACUGGGACACGGUCCAGACUCCUACGGGAGGCAGCAGUGGGGAAUAUUGGACAGUGGGCGCAAGCCUGGUCCAGCCAUACCGCGUGGGUGAAGAAGGCCUUCGGGUUGUAAAGCCCUUUUGUUGGGAAAGAAAAGCAGCAGGUUAAUACCCCGCUGUUCUGACGGUACCCAAAGAAUAAGCACCGGCUAACUUCGUG